This 900-nucleotide ribosomal RNA is filed under the name Halobacillus sp. JSM 102033. RNAcentral describes it as "bacterial SSU rRNA". It matches the Rfam family "Bacterial small subunit ribosomal RNA", at positions 37 to 903 of the family's 1533-position model. The record is from RNAcentral. Lineage: Bacteria; Bacillati; Bacillota; Bacilli; Caryophanales; Bacillaceae.
AGGGGGGGGGCCUUAUACAUGCAAGUCGAGCGCGGGAAGCGAGUGGAUCCCUUCGGGGUGAAGCUCGUGGAACGAGCGGCGGACGGGUGAGUAACACGUGGGCAACCUGCCUGUAAGACCGGAAUAACCCCGGGAAACCGGGGCUAAUGCCGGGUAAUACUUUUCUUCGCAUGAAGGAAAGUUGAAAGAUGGCUUCUUGCUAUCACUUACAGAUGGGCCCGCGGCGCAUUAGCUAGUUGGUGAGGUAACGGCUCACCAAGGCGACGAUGCGUAGCCGACCUGAGAGGGUGAUCGGCCACACUGGGACUGAGACACGGCCCAGACUCCUACGGGAGGCAGCAGUAGGGAAUCUUCCGCAAUGGACGAAAGUCUGACGGAGCAACGCCGCGUGAACGAUGAAGGUCUUCGGAUCGUAAAGUUCUGUUGUUAGGGAAGAACAAGUACCGUGCGAAUAGAGCGGUACCUUGACGGUACCUAACGAGGAAGCCCCGGCUAACUACGUGCCAGCAGCCGCGGUAAUACGUAGGGGGCAAGCGUUGUCCGGAAUUAUUGGGCGUAAAGCGCGCGCAGGCGGUUCCUUAAGUCUGAUGUGAAAGCCCACGGCUCAACCGUGGAGGGUCAUUGGAAACUGGGGAACUUGAGGACAGAAGAGGAGAGUGGAAUUCCACGUGUAGCGGUGAAAUGCGUAGAUAUGUGGAGGAACACCAGUGGCGAAGGCGACUCUCUGGUCUGUUUCUGACGCUGAGGUGCGAAAGCGUGGGUAGCAAACAGGAUUAGAUACCCUGGUAGUCCACGCCGUAAACGAUGAGUGCUAGGUGUUAGGGGGCUUCCACCCCUUAGUGCUGAAGUUAACGCAUUAAGCACUCCGCCUGGGGAGUACGGCCGCAAGGCUGAAACUCA